This 450-nucleotide ribosomal RNA is filed under the name uncultured bacterium. Its description in RNAcentral is "partial 16S ribosomal RNA". It matches the Rfam family "Bacterial small subunit ribosomal RNA", at positions 354 to 796 of the family's 1533-position model. The record is from RNAcentral.
GUCGAGGAUCAUUCGCAAUGGGCGAAAGCCUGACGAUGCGACGCUGCGUGGAGGAUGAAGGCCCUCGGGUCGUAAACUCCUGUCAUGGGGGGCGAGGCGGAGGCGGUUAACGGCCGCCCGAGUUGACGGUACCCCAAGAGGAAGCCACGGCUAACUCUGUGCCAGCAGCCGCGGUAAUACAGAGGUGGCGAGCGUUGUUCGGAUUUACUGGGCGUAAAGGGCGCGUAGGCGGCCGCGUGUGUGGGGUGUGAAAUCUCCGGGCUCAACCCGGAAAGUGCGCUCCAAACUGCGCGGCUCGAGUGCGGGAGGGGAGAUCGGAAUGCAGGGUGUAGCGGUGAAAUGCGUUGAUAUCCUGCAGAACACCGGUGGCGAAGGCGGAUCUCUGGAACGCAACUGACGCUGAGGCGCGAAAGCAGGGGGAGCAAACAGGAUUAGAUACCCGAGUAGUCC